GCUCUAGUAGCUCAGUUGAUCAGAGCGUCGGCCUUGUAAGCCGAAUGUCGGGAGUUCAAAUCUCCCCUAGCGCACACCCCC
This 81-nucleotide transfer RNA is filed under the name Diaphus gigas. Its description in RNAcentral is "tRNA-Thr". It matches the Rfam family "tRNA". From Rfam's summary of the family: Transfer RNA (tRNA) molecules are approximately 80 nucleotides in length. Their secondary structure includes four short double-helical elements and three loops (D, anti-codon, and T loops). The record is from RNAcentral. Lineage: Eukaryota; Metazoa; Chordata; Actinopteri; Myctophiformes; Myctophidae.